CCUACGGGCGGCAGCAGUGGGGAAUAUUGGACAAUGGGGGCAACCCUGAUCCAGCCAUGCCGCGUGUGUGAAGAAGGCCCUCGGGUUGUAAAGCACUUUCAGUGAGGAAGAACGCCUGGUGGUUAAUACCCAUCAGGAAAGACAUCACUCACAGAAGAAGCACCGGCUAACUCCGUGCCAGCAGCCGCGGUAAUACGGAGGGUGCGAGCGUUAAUCGGAAUUACUGGGCGUAAAGCGCGCGUAGGUUGCUUGAUAAGCCGGUUGUGAAAGCCCCGGGCUCAACCUGGGAACGGCAUCCGGAACUGUCAAGCUAGAGUGCAGGAGAGGAAGGUAGAAUUCCCGGUGUAGCGGUGAAAUGCGUAGAGAUCGGGAGGAAUACCAGUGGCGAAGGCGGCCUUCUGGACUGACACUGACACUGAGGUGCGAAAGCGUGGGUAGCAAACAGGAUUAGAUACCCGGGUAGUC
This 465-nucleotide ribosomal RNA is filed under the name Vreelandella stevensii. Its description in RNAcentral is "partial 16S ribosomal RNA". It matches the Rfam family "Bacterial small subunit ribosomal RNA", at positions 338 to 795 of the family's 1533-position model. The record is from RNAcentral. Lineage: Bacteria; Pseudomonadati; Pseudomonadota; Gammaproteobacteria; Oceanospirillales; Halomonadaceae.